Long non-coding RNA from Ziziphus jujuba (common jujube), 2834 nucleotides. RefSeq lists it as uncharacterized. The record is from RefSeq and is a predicted model, not a curated record. Lineage: Eukaryota; Viridiplantae; Streptophyta; Magnoliopsida; Rosales; Rhamnaceae. The transcript has 3 exons.
GAAUCAUUGUAACAACUAGAGAUGUGCAAGUGCCAAGGAAAGUAGCUGGUGAAAUUUAUAAGGUUGAGAGGUUAAGUUCUAAUGAAGCUUAUAAUCUUUUCUGUCUGGAUGCUUUUAAGGAAAACUCUUUCACAUCAGAUGGUUGCCAUACACUGUCAGAAACGGUGAUAGGGCAUGCGCACGGUGCUCCAUUUUUAUAAACUUAAAACAGUUCCCAACAUGAACACUCAGGAUGUGCUGAGAAUAAGUUACGAUGGACUAGAUGAUACUGAUAAGGAUGUAUUUCUUAAUAUUGAAUGUUUCUUCAACGGAUAUGGUGUAGAAUCUAUAGAAAGAAUGCUUGAUGGUUGUGGUUUCUUCUCAAGAAUAGGAAUAUGCGUUCUAAUUGAUAAGUCUCUAAUAACCAUAGAGGCAGACAAUCUGUAGAUGCACGAUUUGUUACAAGAAAUGGGGAGGGAAAUUGUCCAGAAACAGUCUAUUAAAGAGCCUGGAGAUCAUAGGAGGUUGUGGAAUGCUGAGGACGUCUAUCACUUGCUGAAAAGAAAUACACAGGGAAAUGCAAACAGUAGAAGGAACAUUCUUACAUACAUUUCUAAUCAAAGAGGGAAGCUUGAGCCCCGAAGACUUCUCAAAGAUGCAUAAUUUAAGGUUGCUUAAAAUUUAUGCUUUUGAUGAGGGAAAAACUGCAAACUGAGGUUUCCUCAAGGCCUUGAAUGUCUUCCUGAUGCUACCCUUACAUAUCUUUAUUAGCAUGGAUACCCUUUGAUAUCUUUACCAUCAAGUUUUAUUCCAGAAAAUGUUGUUGAACUUAAAAUGCCUCACAGCCAGCUGGAGAAACUUUGGGAUGGUGUUCAGCAUCUUGGGAAGUUAAGAGAUGGGUCUUAGUUACUCUAAGCACUUGACUCAGACACCUGAUCUCUCUAACGCUUGAAACUUGGAGAAUAUAAAUCUUGAAUACUGUACAAGUUUGCUUGAACUUCCUUCAUCUUUUCAUUAUCUUGACAAGCUUAGUUCUGUAAAUUUGAGAUGCUGCUUAAAACUUGAAAACCUUCCAGAUCUAUGAAGGAAUAUCAAAGACUUCUUUUUGGAGGGGCCUGCAACAAAGAAAAUGCCUUCAUCAAUUAUGUCUCUGACCAAACUUGAGUCUUUGGAUUUUAAAACUGUGAAGACCUUGAGAAUCUUCCAAACAGCAUUUGUAAUCUGGAGACCCUGAAAGUUUUAAAACUGUGUGGCUUCACAUCCAUUGACAUGUUUCCAAGUCUUCCUAGAUUUAUAAGUUCAUUAGAUUUUGAGUGGGACAGCAAUAGAACCAGUGCCGUCAUCAAUUGAACUACUCUCUGGUCUUGCCAAAUGCUAUCUCAAAGAUUGCGAAAGGCUUGAGAGCCUCCCAAGUGGGAAUUUUAAUUUAAAAUCUCUAAAGUUUCUCUCUUUCUGGUUACUCAAAACUGGAAUACUUCCCAGUAAUCUUGAAGCCACUGGAAUGUUUGCUUUUUCUGCAUCUAGAUGGAGCAGGAAUUAGGGAGCUAUCCUCGUCAAUUGAAAAUCUAAGCGGGCUUAAUGAAUUAAGGCUGGACAUGUGCAAGAACCUUGAGGUUCUACCUGAAAGCAUCUCUAAGAUAUUAAAUACUAUUGAAUAUAAUUAUUCUUGCUGUGUCUGCUUGAAACAUAAAAUGUUUCGUAUUGAACUAGUAGGAAGUUUCAUACAAGGUCGUCUUUUUGGCUUAGCUAAUAUGAAAGAUCUCUGAUUUUUGAAUUGUCUAAAACUGGAUCAAGAAUCACGUGCGAGGAUAAUGGCUGAUGCACAGAUGAGAUUUUUGCGAAUGGCAACUCUAUCCGUAAAAAUAGUAUACCUCUCCUCACUUUCUUUCUGCAGUCUCCGUGUACUUAUGCACUCUAAUUAAACUUCCACCAUGCUACAGGAUUUUAAAUACAAAGGGUUGCCUUCCAUUAGAAUUUGCUGUCCAGGAAAUGAAAUUGCCAAGAGGUUAACCUACCAAACUAAUGGAUCUUCAAUUAGGAAUGUCCUGCUUCCUCCAAAUUGGUAUAAUGCCAACUUCUUAGGUCUUGCUUUAUGUGCUGUUGUUGAAAUCCAGAACUCUAGAAACGCAGAUGGAGAUUUGGAUCUCUCAUGCAUCUUCUUCGUUAAUGGAAACAAUGGUCAAAUGGGACAUGUUCUGUAGUGAUGUGAAAAGCUGAGAGAUUGAUAAUGACACGAGAAAUUGAGAAUUCAGAUCAUAUGUUCCUGUGGUAUGAUCGUGGAAUCUUAGAGAAGAUAAAUAAAAAACAAGUACAUUACUGGUCCUAUUGCCUCAUUACAGUUCCUAAAACAUAUUGAUUUUCCAGUCAUAAAAAAAGUGUGGAUUCUCCCUGCUAUUUUCUCAAGAUGCAGAGAGAUUUGGUAUCGUCAACGUGUAAAGGAAGCAAGGGUAGAAGUUACUAACAGCAAGAGAUGUCGAGAUGAGUUUGAACCCAGUGAAUGAGGCGAUGAGUUCAAGAGAAUUUGAAAACAGAAAACGGAUCAGUUUGCAUUCUCUGUCUCUGACAGAUUGCAGGUAAGUUAAAAAGGGAUCAUCUUUGAUAAUGACUAGUUCCAUGCAGGUUGCCUUGUUGUGGAAGUUAAAGCUGCUUUAAACAUGCAGUGAUUCCAAAUUUUGCGAAUGAAGGUUUAAGUUGUAUUUUAGUGUAUAUUACACAAACUCCCCAUCUAGUUUCAAGUUUUUUCAUAUAUGCCCUCCGUUUUUUUUAAUUUUCUUUCAUAUGGUCCUCUUCCUUUGGUCAAACCUUGAAAUUUGGUGGUCAGGAUUGUUUUAUUAUUUAUAAUGACAAAAAUACUU